RNAcentral lists this ribosomal RNA (468 nucleotides) under uncultured bacterium. Its description in RNAcentral is "partial 16S ribosomal RNA". It matches the Rfam family "Bacterial small subunit ribosomal RNA", at positions 28 to 507 of the family's 1533-position model. The record is from RNAcentral.
GACGAACGCUGGCGGCGUGCUUAACACAUGCAAGUCGAACGGAAAGGCCCUGCUUUUGUGGGGUGCUCGAGUGGCGAACGGGUGAGUAACACGUGAGUAACCUGCCCUUGACUUUGGGAUAACUUCAGGAAACUGGGGCUAAUACCGGAUAGGAGCUCCUGCUGCAUGGUGGGGGUUGGAAAGUUUCGGCGGUUGGGGAUGGACUCGCGGCUUAUCAGCUUGUUGGUGGGGUAGUGGCUUACCAAGGCUUUGACGGGUAGCCGGCCUGAGAGGGUGACCGGCCACAAUGGGACUGCGAUACGGCCCAGACUCCUACGGGAGGCAGCAGUGGGGAAUAUUGCACAAUGGGCGGAAGCCUGAUGCAGCAACGCCGCGUGCGGGAUGACGGCCUUCGGGUUGUGAACCGCUUUCGCCUGUGACGAAGCGUGAGUGACGGUAAUGGGUAAAGAAGCACCGGCUAACUACGUG